Long non-coding RNA from Mustela putorius furo (domestic ferret), 1672 nucleotides. NCBI's taxonomy places the organism in Eukaryota, Metazoa, Chordata, Mammalia, Carnivora, Mustelidae. The record is from Ensembl.
GGCUUUUCAAGCCUCUCCCGGCUUCCUCCCCUUUUCUUUCAGGCAUUUCUCCUAAUUAAUUUCUUGCACUUUUAAUGGAUCUUGGUAACAGCUUCUCAGAGGACAGGGAAUAACAUAAGCGGGGAUCCACCAGGAAGCACAGAAAGCACCCAGAGGAGGAGGGACAGGAAACAUGGUAUUGGUUUAAAAACCAAACUCACUUCCCGAAAUACGGGCCACCGUGUGAGGCUUUAAUGAGGCGUUCUCAGGGCUCACAGGGAUGGCUUUGUAAUCUGCGUAAUUGGCCAGGCUGGACUACAUUUCCCAGGAUUCCUUUUCCCUCUAUGUUUCAGGUUAAUAAAGGCUCCAAGGGACGUUGUCUCGCGAGAGAUGGAAGCGGGCAACGGGGCGGCAGCCAUCUUGUAGGGCGCCCUUCCUUGCUGUCGAUCACCCCACUAAAGCUCAGGUUCCUCAGGCUACCAAGAUCAAGGGUCAUUGUCUCACAGAGCGUUGUGGUGGGAAGCAGCGGUGAACAGGAAAAGAACAUAAAGAUGGAGAGUGGAGCUUAGUGUCCUGCACCUGGGAGGAGGGAUGGCAGGACGUCUUCAAGGGCAGCCAGACCCUUGCAGCUCGGGCGGCCUGGCCAAGUCUCAGAGGCAGCUGGUUCCAGAGCUUUCCUCCAUUGGCUGUGUACACAGCCCUACCAAAAGACCACAGGCCUUGGGGCAGCCUGAGCACUGCCAUGCUCCUGACCGAUGCCCGGAUGAGUGCCUCCUGUGCCCCUCACACUGUUGCCUGUGGGAUCAGCCAGCCCGGAGUUGCUCAGGCCCACGCACCCAAUGUUACAAACCAAAGUGAUGGAACUGGUGGCUCUUUGAAGAUGCUGGGAAAGGUGGGAAAGACGACCGACCGCCUACAAUGCUGGAAACAGGGAGGGGCUGGGUGGAUUCUGAGAUCACAGGUGCCGUGCUAGCAAGAGUGUCUGCUGCCUUUCCCUGCAGAAGCUUAUUAGCUCAGUAUUCCUGGCACCCACCGAUUGGAAUCACCCAGAAGCUUUUCAAACAGCACAGAUGACGAGAUGGUGCCUCCGACUGAUUAAAUCAGAGGGUCCAGAGGUUGGGCCCGGGGAAUAAGUAUUUUUUAAAUGCUUCUCCGGUGAUUCCAAAGUGCAGCCACGGUUGAGAACCAUCCGUUCAACCACAUUUAAAGGACUCUUGCCAGUUACCUACUGAACUCUCUAAUUAUCAGCUUCCAGGGCCAUGGACAAUUCCUGUGGAUAGAGAGGAACUCUUUGUGCACCAGAACAUGAUAUUUGCUUUGCUCUGCAAUCCUUUUCAGUUAUUAGGAGCUCCCUCCUGCACCCCCCGCCCCAAGCUGAUAGUUAACUACUGGUAAUAAUUGUCUCAAUCAUUUUUGUGUGUGUGUGCUAAUUCUUACUAAAGUGUCAGUGUGAAUUAAAUUCUCCCACCCAAAGAGAUUUCUACUCCAUAGUGGUGCAGCUGAUGUCCCUUCCGAAAAAUACUUUUUUCUAGGGAAGACCAUUUAUGUAUAGGAGGAUAGCACGUGUUCUCCUGUACCCUUUUAGAGCCUCUCCACUUUGAUGUAUGGCUUCACUUGGUGGUUUCGGAAUAUUUCAAAGAUCAUAAAGAUCCAAAUGCAGAUGAACAAGAAAGAAGAAGCUUCCUACUCAAAU